Molecule: ribosomal RNA, 453 nt
Filed under: uncultured bacterium
Lineage: Bacteria
Description: bacterial SSU rRNA
Rfam family: Bacterial small subunit ribosomal RNA
Source: RNAcentral
UACGGGAGGCAGCAGUGGGGAAUAUUGCACAAUGGGCGCAAGCCUGAUGCAGCCAUGCCGCGUGUAUGAAGAAGGCCUUCGAGUUGUAAAGUACUUUCAGUCGUGAGGAAGGUGUUAAGGUUAAUAACCUUAGCAAUUGACGUUAGCGACAGAAGAAGCACCGGCUAACUCCGUGCCAGCAGCCGCGGUAAUACGGAGGGUGCGAGCGUUAAUCGGAAUUACUGGGCGUAAAGGGCACGCAGGCGGUUAAUAAGUUGGAUGUGAAAUCCCCGGGCUUAACCUGGGAAUGGCAUUCAAGACUGGUUAGCUAGAGUCUUGUAGAGGGGGUAGAAUUCCAUGUGUAGCGGUGAAAUGCGUAGAGAUGUGGAGGAAUACCGGUGGCGAAGGCGGCCCCUGGGACAAAGACUGACGCUCAUGUGCGAAAGCGUGGGGAGCAAACAGGAUUAGGAUACC